GACGAACGCUGGCGGCGUGCUUAACACAUGCAAGUCGAACGGUAAGGCCCUUCGGGGUACACGAGUGGCGAACGGGUGAGUAACACGUGGGUGAUCUGCCCUGCACUUCGGGAUAAGCCUGGGAAACUGGGUCUAAUACCGGAUAGGACCACUGCCUGCAUGGGUGGUGGUGGAAAGCUUUUGCGGUGUGGGAUGGGCCCGCGGCCUAUCAGCUUGUUGGGGGGGUGAUGGCCUACCAAGGCGACGACGGGUAGCCGGCCUGAGGGGGUGACCGGCCACACUGGGACUGAGAUACGGCCCAGACUCCUACGGGCGGCAGCAGUGGGGAAUAUUGCACAAUGGGCGCAAGCCUGAUGCAGCGACGCCGCGUGAGGGAUGACGGCCUUCGGGUUGUAAACCUCUUUCAGCACCGACGAAGCGCAAGUGACGGUGGGUGCAGAAGAAGGACCGGCCAACUACGUGCCAGCCGCCGCGGUAA
This 478-nucleotide ribosomal RNA is filed under the name uncultured bacterium. Its description in RNAcentral is "partial 16S ribosomal RNA". It matches the Rfam family "Bacterial small subunit ribosomal RNA", at positions 28 to 523 of the family's 1533-position model. The record is from RNAcentral.